AAACGUGCCAAAGUUAUUUAGUUCUAAAAAAAAAAAACUUGCAUGACUGAGGAGGCUCCUGCGGUGGUGGAGCGGUGCGGGAGGGUGACAGUUGUCAUAAGUUGACGAAUCACUGAGUUCUUGCGUCACGUCAUCACACCUCUUCCGCACCG
Maniola jurtina (meadow brown) is the source of this 152-nucleotide long non-coding RNA. RefSeq lists it as uncharacterized. NCBI's taxonomy places the organism in Eukaryota, Metazoa, Arthropoda, Insecta, Lepidoptera, Nymphalidae. The transcript is spliced from 4 exons. The record is from RefSeq and is a predicted model, not a curated record.